This 465-nucleotide ribosomal RNA is filed under the name Vreelandella stevensii. RNAcentral's name for it is "partial 16S ribosomal RNA". It matches the Rfam family "Bacterial small subunit ribosomal RNA", at positions 338 to 795 of the family's 1533-position model. Lineage: Bacteria; Pseudomonadati; Pseudomonadota; Gammaproteobacteria; Oceanospirillales; Halomonadaceae. The record is from RNAcentral.
CCUACGAGUGGCUGCAGUGGGGAAUAUUGGACAAUGGGCGAAAGCCUGAUCCAGCCAUGCCGCGUGUGUGAAGAAGGCCUUCGGGUUGUAAAGCACUUUCAGUGGGGAAGAAAGCCUUGGGGCUAAUACCCUCGAGGAAGGACAUCACCCACAGAAGAAGCACCGGCUAACUCCGUGCCAGCAGCCGCGGUAAUACGGAGGGUGCGAGCGUUAAUCGGAAUUACUGGGCGUAAAGCGCGCGUAGGCGGUCUGAUAAGCCGGUUGUGAAAGCCCCGGGCUCAACCUGGGAACGGCAUCCGGAACUGUCAGGCUAGAGUGCAGGAGAGGAAGGUAGAAUUCCCGGUGUAGCGGUGAAAUGCGUAGAGAUCGGGAGGAAUACCAGUGGCGAAGGCGGCCUUCUGGACUGACACUGACGCUGAGGUGCGAAAGCGUGGGUAGCAAACAGGAUUAGAUACCCUGGUAGUC